UAAAAAGAUAAGCUAAUUAAGCUAUUAGGUUCAUACCCUAAACAUAAAGGUUUUAAUCCUUUUCUUUUU
Molecule: transfer RNA, 69 nt
Filed under: Harpalinae sp. 2 ACP-2013
Lineage: Eukaryota; Metazoa; Arthropoda; Insecta; Coleoptera; Carabidae
Description: tRNA-Met
Rfam family: tRNA
About the family: Transfer RNA (tRNA) molecules are approximately 80 nucleotides in length.
Source: RNAcentral